UCUCACUGACUUGGGGGCAAUAAAACGUCUUCUGAGUCUUAUGAAGCAUAUAGUACGGAACAAAGCAGAGUAUUUUUUUGUAAAGUGAUUUUGUUAUGUGGCUUAGUCGGCGGACUCUAAGUGCUCUCUAUCAUACGCCAUUUAUUUUUCAUAUCUGUCAGGACCGGCUGCCUAAAGGAUGCGACCCGCCUCUAAGAGCAGAGUGGUAGUUUAAUGGGAGGAGCACGUUUAACAGCAACUCCUACUUUAGGCGAAGUGACUUCCACUAAGAGACAGAGAAAAUGAACCUGAGCCGGACGCCGGACAAUCCAGGAGGUUAGAAAUAGAGUAACCACACUAGCAGGCCCCUGUCUAACUGCGCAUGCUCAGGACAGGGGCGGACGUGGUUAAAGAGAACUCUGGCAUCUGCUCACUACUUGAUUUAAGUUGGUCCCCGAGACUCCGGAGUGCGCCUGCGCCUGCUGGGGGGGUGGAGCCUGAAGUGACGUGUGGGGGCGGGGCUGUAGCCGGCGUCUCUCCCGCGCUUUUACAGAAAAAGUGCGCAUUUUGACGUUUCCGAGCUUACCUACGUGGGUUGUCAAUUGAGGGCCCGAUUUAAGGGCUUUAGGAGAACUGCCGACACCCGCCCUGGGACUCCAACCUACGGCAACAAAAAUGUAGCCGGAGCGGGACCGUAAACAGCUUGCACCCCGACAAAGAGGAAUAAGGCUGGGCCUAGGGAGAGGCAAGAAGGACUCCUAGGCUGAAAAUUUAAGGAGGCAGUCCCUCUCAGGGUCAGGUACUGCUUGAAGAACUUUCAACCACUCUUGGUGAUGCCAAGGAUACAUUUUGCUAAAACAGUAAUUAUGCUUCUGGACCCUUGCCUGGUAAAAUGAAAAACAUGUAAAACA
Orcinus orca (killer whale) is the source of this 890-nucleotide long non-coding RNA. RefSeq lists it as uncharacterized. NCBI's taxonomy places the organism in Eukaryota, Metazoa, Chordata, Mammalia, Artiodactyla, Delphinidae. The record is from RefSeq and is a predicted model, not a curated record. The transcript is spliced from 3 exons.